AUUGAACGCUGGCGGCAGGCCUAACACAUGCAAGUCGAGCGGAUGAAGGGAGCUUGCUCCUGGAUUCAGCGGCGGACGGGUGAGUAAUGCCUAGGAAUCUGCCUGGUAGUGGGGGAUAACGUCCGGAAACGGGCGCUAAUACCGCAUACGUCCUGAGGGAGAAAGUGGGGGAUCUUCGGACCUCACGCUAUCAGAUGAGCCUAGGUCGGAUUAGCUAGUUGGUGGGGUAAAGGCCUACCAAGGCGACGAUCCGUAACUGGUCUGAGAGGAUGAUCAGUCACACUGGAACUGAGACACGGUCCAGACUCCUACGGGAGGCAGCAGUUGGGAAUAUUGGGCAAUGGGCGAAAGCCUGAUCCAGCCAUGCCGCGUGUGUGAAGAAGGGCUUCGGAUUGUAAAACACUUUUAGUUGGGAAGAAGGGCAGUAAGUUAAUACCUUGCUGUUUUGACGUUACCAACAGAAUAAGCACCGGCUAACUUCGUG
Molecule: ribosomal RNA, 484 nt
Filed under: uncultured bacterium
Lineage: Bacteria
Description: partial 16S ribosomal RNA
Rfam family: Bacterial small subunit ribosomal RNA
Source: RNAcentral